AUUGAACGCUGGCGGAAUGCUUUACACAUGCAAGUCGAACGGUAGAGGGGGCAACCCCUUGAGAGUGGCGAACGGGUGAGUAAUAUAUCGGAACGUGCCCAGUCGUGGGGAUAACGUAGCGAAAGUUACGCUAAUACCGCAUACGAUCUACGGAUGAAAGCGGGGGACUCGCAAGAGCCUCGCGCGAUUGGAGCGGCCGAUAUCAGAUUAGGUAGUUGGUGGGGUAAAGGCUCACCAAGCCAACGAUCUGUAGCUGGUCUGAGAGGACGACCAGCCACACUGGAACUGAGACACGGUCCAGACUCCUACGGGAGGCAGCAGUGGGGAAUUUUGGACAAUGGACGCAAGUCUGAUCCAGCCAUUCCGCGUGCAGGAUGAAGGCCCUCGGGUUGUAAACUGCUUUUUGUACGGAACGAAAAGGUUUCUAUUAAUACUAGGAGCUCAUGACGGUACCGUAAGAAUAAGCACCGGCUAACUACGUGCCAGCAGCCGCG
RNAcentral lists this ribosomal RNA (494 nucleotides) under uncultured bacterium. RNAcentral's name for it is "bacterial SSU rRNA". It matches the Rfam family "Bacterial small subunit ribosomal RNA", at positions 30 to 519 of the family's 1533-position model. The record is from RNAcentral.